GAAAUGCGAUAAGUAAUGUGAAUUGCAGAAUUCAGUGAAUCAUCGAAUCUUUGAACGCACAUUGCGCCCGACAGUAUUCUGGCGGGCAUGCCUGUUCGAGCGUCAUUACAACCCUCAGGCCCCCGGGCCUGGCGUUGGGGAUCGGCGGAAGCCCCCUGCGGGCACAACGCCGUCCCCCAAAUACAGUGGCGGUCCCGCCGCAGCUUCCAUUGCGUAGUAGCUAACACCUCGCAACUGGAGAGCGGCGCGGCCACGCCGUAAAACACCCAACUUCUGAAUGUUGACCUCGAAUCAGGUAGGAAUACCCGCUGAACUUAAGC
This 320-nucleotide unclassified non-coding RNA is filed under the name plant metagenome. RNAcentral's name for it is "partial contains 5.8S ribosomal RNA, internal transcribed spacer 2, and large subunit ribosomal RNA". The stretch from base 1 to 105 matches the Rfam family "5.8S ribosomal RNA", at positions 50 to 154 of the family's 154-position model. The record is from RNAcentral.